Molecule: ribosomal RNA, 253 nt
Filed under: uncultured bacterium
Lineage: Bacteria
Description: partial 16S ribosomal RNA
Rfam family: Bacterial small subunit ribosomal RNA
Source: RNAcentral
UACGUAGGGGGCUAGCGUUGUCCGGAUUUAUUGGGCGUAAAGAGCGUGUAGGCGGCCUGGUAGGUCUGCUGUGAAAACUCGAGGCUCAACCUCGAGAUGUCGGCGGAAACCAUCUGGCUAGAGUCCGGAAGAGGAGAGUGGAAUUCCUGGUGUAGCGGUGAAAUGCGCAGAUAUCAGGAAGAACACCUAUGGCGAAGGCAGCUCGCUGGGACGGUACUGACGCUGAGACGCGAAAGCGUGGGGAGCGAACAGG